AGAUGAAAAAGGACAAGCACAGAGGGGAGAUGGUUCUUCUUCAUGGAUUUAAUUAGACUUCUUAGAACGUACCAGAAGAUUUGGUGAUAUAUAAAGAAGACAGCAGAAGUCAGAAGAAGUGGGAGAGAGUUUUCAUUUAAUAAAAAAGGGAAAAAGGGAAAAAGGGGAAAAAACAAGUAAUAGCGAGAGAGAGAGAGAGAGAGAGAGAGAGAGAGAGAGAGGGUCGUCUCUGAUUUGCUGGACCCUGGCAUCCAAGGCCUAAGAGCGUCUAAGAGCUUAAAAUAGAGCAGAAGAGUGGAGAUUAGGGAUCUCUGCUUGGUGGUUAAUCAUCUGGAAUUAGCAUAAAUGGAUCCAAUAGCGGAAGAGCAAUUAGAUUAUGGAGAUGAAGAAUAUGGUGGAGGUCAGAAGAUGCAGUAUCAAGGCGGUGGAGCAAUUUCUGCCCUCGCAGAAGAGGAGCUGAUGGGAGAGGAUGAUGAGUACGAUGAUCUCUACAAUGAUGUCAACGUUGGUGACGGAUUUCUGCAGCUGCACCGUACCGAAACACCCAUCUUAGGAGGUGCAGGGAGCGGACCACAAGCUCAAAAACCUGACGCUUUCAGAUCAAGGGUCGUUGAACAGGGUGCGUCGGAAGACAUAGCUAUCCCGGGAGUUGGGUUGGAAGGGAAGGACUCCAAUAUGGGAGCCAGUUUUCCGGAGCAGAAUAAGGGAGCAUUUAUGUCUGUCAAAGGUUUGGAAGGGGCAGCUGGUAAUUACCCAGACGGGAUUUCACAGAAAGAGAGGGUUAUGGAUAUGGGUUCUGAUGUUCAAGUUGGAAGCUCAGGGAUUGGAGGAUCGGCACCUGUGGCUGCUAAAGUUGGUGUUGAUCCUAGUCAGAUACCGGUUAAAUUUUCUGGUGGAUCUUUGUCAUUGCCAGAUUCAAGCACUGGCGCUCCAAGAAGUGCUCCACAAAUGCCUGUCAAUCGAACGGGAAUGAAUAUCAGUAUGAACCGUCCUGUGGUGAAUGAAAAUCCAGGCCGGCAGCCUGUAGAUAAUGGUGGCACCAUGCUCUUUGUGAGUGAACUGCAUUGGUGGACUACCGAUGCCGAGCUUGAAAGUGUGCUAUCUCAAUUUGGGAGGGUAAAGGAAAUCAAAUUCUUUGAUGAGAGAGCUAGUGGAAAAUCAAAGGGCUACUGUCAGGUGGAAUUCUUUGAUCCUGCUGCUACAACUGCAUGUAAAGAAGGGAUGAAUGGCCAUGUUUUCAAUGGUCGAGCUUGUGUGGUGAAUUUUGCAACUCCACAGACUUUGAAGCAGAUAGGAGCUGCGUAUAUGAACAAAAACCAAGCACAGGCUCAGUCACAGCCGCAAGUACGAAGACCUAUGAAUGAUGGGGUAGGAAGAGGCGGUGGAAUGAAUUAUCCAGCUGGAGAAACAGGCAGGAACUUUGGGAAGGUUGGAUGGGGUCGAGGAGGUCAAGGACUACUCAAUAGGGGUCCUGGUGGUGGACCAAUGAGAGGUAGAGGAUCUGUUGGGCCGAAAAACAUGAUGGGAGGCACUGUAGGUGUUGGAAGCAGUGGUAGUGGGGGCCCUUAUGGGCAAGGCCUUGCAGGUCCUGCCCUGGGGGGCCCAGCUGGUGGGAUGAUGCAUCCUCAGAGUAUGAUGGGUGCAGGAUUUGAUCCAACGUACAUGGGUCGAGGAGGUGCUUAUGGGGGAUUCUCAGGUCAUGCUUUUCCUGGGAUGAUUCCUUCUUUUCCAGCUGUUAAUACAAUGGCACUUCCUGGUGUGGCUCCACAUGUCAACCCAGCUUUCUUCGUCCGUGGAAUGUCUGCUAAUGGAAUGGGAAUGAUGGGUACUAGUGGAAUGGAUGGUCAGCACGUAGGAAUGUGGACUGAUGCAAACAUGGGUGGAUGGGGAGGGGAUGAUCAUGGGAGAAGGACAAGGGAGUCAAGUUAUGGUGGUGAAAAUGGGGCAUCUGACUAUGGAUAUGGAGAGGCAAGCCAGGAGAGGGGAGGGGGGAGAUCAAGUGCUGCCUCCCGGGAGAAGGAUAGGGGUUCUGAGCGUGAUUGGUCAGGAAACACUGAGAGGAGGCAUCGUGAAGAGAGGGACCAGGACUGGGAUAGGUCUGAUAGGGAGCACCGGUACAAAGAAGAAAAAGAUGGUUACAGGGACAAUCGUCAGAGAGAGCGUGACUAUCACAAUGAGGAUGACUGGGAUAGGGGGCAAACUUCUUCUAGGUCUAGGAGCAAGCCCCGUAUGAUGCAAGAAGAUAGCAGGUCUCGAACAAGAGAUGCUGACUAUGGGAAGAGACGGCGGCUACCGUCGGAGUGACAAUAUUUGGCUCUUUAACAACCUUUCUUUGUGGAAGUAACUUAAAAGGUCUUAUGCAGUCCUUGGUUUCAUAUUCUGAGUGUUACUCUUCGUUGAUGACUAACACUACAUCCGUCUUUGCUCACUCUGGUUUUUGCUGACACACAUGCAGAAGUGUGGUUUCUGGAUGGAAAAAGGAGUGGAGCAGGCAUUUCUUUAUUUGUGGUAAAGUCUGCCUAUGUUGGUUACCUAGAAGACAAUUUUGGAUUUGGUGUCUUCACUGGAUUACUGAGAUGUUGGUGAUGGCCUCCGCCAAGCAUAGGAACGAAAAACUCUUAGUGAUGUUGGCAUUCUAAUUUUCAUUCAUGCUAUCACCAAUGACUAUCAUAAGCUGUUGUAACUCUAUGCAGUGCUCCCUGCAAGAACAAGUCUUUAAAGAGUCAAAACAUCAUGAAGCUAUAAGUGUCUGAGGGGAUAUCUGAGUUAAAUGUUGGACCCACCAACCAUGUCCAUAAGUGCAAAAUGAAAUUGCAUUUUUUAUGUAGAUCUGUGCAUUAGGUUCAGAGCAUGUAACUGGUCUUUUGCUUUGUUUCUGUGUUUCUUUCUGCUUUAUCAGUGAGCUUGUAAGUCUUGUACAGCUUAUUGUUGGUCAGAUUUAGCUUGUAUUUAAUCAUGCUCCCUCUAUACCUUCACGAGAAUCAGGGUUGAGCUUUGUAUAUUGUAAUGUGGGAGUUUUCCUUUCAUUUGUAAUUAGUGAUAAUGACUAAUGAUAUUCGAAGAAUCCCGUCUGCCGUUGUGGCAAGUUACUUCAUUGUAAGCAUUAAGUUUUUUCAGAUGUAUUCUUUUGGUUAAAUGUAAGGGGUACUUGUAUUUGGGAGUACACAUGGUUGUUGCCACAUUGUGUAGGGGCUGGGAAGAGUUUGAGUUGUGUACCGGAGGCUGCUUCUGUGGGUUGCCCCCCCCCCCCUCUCUUUUUUAGUUUCUGAUGGGACUCCACUGUACGAGAUCACCUUUCGUGGGUAGAAAGGUCUUUUCAACUUAUUCGAUUCUUUAUGUAAUGUAAAUUAGAAUAUUAGACAA
Molecule: RNA transcript, 3363 nt
Organism: Macadamia integrifolia
Lineage: Eukaryota; Viridiplantae; Streptophyta; Magnoliopsida; Proteales; Proteaceae
Gene name: cleavage and polyadenylation specificity factor subunit 6
Exons: 3
Source: RefSeq, a predicted model, not a curated record